Molecule: ribosomal RNA, 511 nt
Filed under: uncultured bacterium
Lineage: Bacteria
Description: partial 16S ribosomal RNA
Rfam family: Bacterial small subunit ribosomal RNA
Source: RNAcentral
GAUGAACGCUAGCUACAGGCUUAACACAUGCAAGUCGAGGGGUAACGAGAGGAAAGCUUGCUUUCCUUGUCGACGACCGGCGCACGGGUGAGUAACGCGUAUCCAACCUGCCCCCAACUAGGGAAUAACCUUGCGAAAGUAAGACUAAUACCCUAUAAUUUCCUCAGAUGUCAUCUGACGAGGAAUAAAGAUUUAUCGGUUGUGGAUGGGGAUGCGUCUGAUUAGCUUGUUGGCGGGGUAACGGCCCACCAAGGCAACGAUCAGUAGGGGUUCUGAGAGGAAGGUCCCCCACAUUGGAACUGAGACACGGUCCAAACUCCUACGGGAGGCAGCAGUGAGGAAUUUUGGACAAUGGGCGCAAGCCUGAUCCAGCCAUUCCGCGUGCAGGAUGAAGGCCCUCGGGUUGUAAACUGCUUUUGUACAGAACGAAAAGGCUCUGGUUAAUACCUGGGGCUCAUGACGGUACUGUAAGAAUAAGCACCGGCUAACUACGUGCCAGCCGCCGCCGUAA